This 73-nucleotide transfer RNA is filed under the name Ixodes scapularis (black-legged tick). It matches the Rfam family "tRNA". From Rfam's summary of the family: Transfer RNA (tRNA) molecules are approximately 80 nucleotides in length. Lineage: Eukaryota; Metazoa; Arthropoda; Arachnida; Ixodida; Ixodidae. The record is from Rfam by way of RNAcentral.
UCCUGGUUAACUCAGUUGGUAGGGCGCUCCACUGGAAAUAUAGAGGUCCCUGGUGCGAUUCCAGGAUUAGGCG